UACGAAGGGGGCUAGCGUUGUUCGGAUUUACUGGGCGUAAAGCGCGCGUAGGCGGGUUGUUAAGUCAGGGGUGAAAUGCCGAGGCUCAACCUCGGAACUGCCUUUGAUACUGGCAACCUGGAGUUCGGGAGAGGUGAGUGGAAUUCCGAGUGUAGAGGUGAAAUUCGUAGAUAUUGGGAAGAACACCAGUGGCGAAGGCGGCUAUCUGGCUCGGUACUGACGCUGAGGCGCGAAAGCGUGGGGAGCAAACAGG
RNAcentral lists this ribosomal RNA (253 nucleotides) under uncultured bacterium. RNAcentral's name for it is "partial 16S ribosomal RNA". It matches the Rfam family "Bacterial small subunit ribosomal RNA", at positions 524 to 776 of the family's 1533-position model. The record is from RNAcentral.